RNAcentral lists this ribosomal RNA (248 nucleotides) under uncultured bacterium. RNAcentral describes it as "partial 16S ribosomal RNA". It matches the Rfam family "Bacterial small subunit ribosomal RNA", at positions 523 to 769 of the family's 1533-position model. The record is from RNAcentral.
AUACGUAGGGGGCAAGCGUUAUCCGGAAUUACUGGGUGUAAAGGGAGCGUAGGCGGCAUGGUAAGUUAGAUGUGAAAGCCCGGGGCUUAACCCCGAGGAUUGCAUUUAAAACUAUCAAGCUAGAGUACAGGAGAGGAAAGCGGAAUUCCUAGUGUAGCGGUGAAAUGCGUAGAUAUUAGGAAGAACACCAGUGGCGAAGGCGGCUUUCUGGACUGAAACUGACGCUGAGGCGCGCAAGCGUGGGGAGC